Molecule: long non-coding RNA, 284 nt
Filed under: Malus domestica (apple)
Lineage: Eukaryota; Viridiplantae; Streptophyta; Magnoliopsida; Rosales; Rosaceae
Description: long non-coding RNA (MDOM_LNC003551)
Source: RNAcentral
GUUUAUGUACUUGGGUUAAUCAUUCUACAAUAUACCUCUUUCACCAUAACCAAAUUGCUUUCAAAAUUCACAUCAAAUUUGUCACAUUUGCUUAUACUAGUUUUGGGCACAGAGAGAGAGGGAGAGAGAGAGAGAGAGAGAGAGAGAGAGAGAGAGAGAGAGACCAAGGCACCUCACUUCUGGUUUUGAAUCAAUUUACAAAUUCAACAAUAUGCCAUAAGAUUUGUGCACCUGCCGGCUGGAGAGGAUCGCUCAGUCGGCGUUUUCUUCCUUAACUGCAACUU